GACGAACGCUGGCGGCGUGCUUAACACAUGCAAGUCGAACGGAAAGGCCCUGCUUGCAGGGUACUCGCGUGGCGAACGGGUGAGUAACACGUGGGUGAUCUGCCCUGCACUUCGGGAUAAACUUGGUAGACUGGGUCUAAUACCGGAUAGAAACCAUCUUGAGUGUAGUGGUUGGAAAGUUUUUUCGGUGUAGGAUGAGCUCGCGGCCUAUCAGCCUGUUGGUUGGGUAGUGGCCUACCAAGGCGGCGACGGGGAGCCGGCCUGAGAGGGUGUACGGCCAAAGCUGGAGCGUGCGAGCGGCAGGAAUCCGAAGGGGGGCACGAGGGGGGGAAGUUUGACAAAGGGAGGAAGCCUGAGUGAGGCACGGCGUCGGGGGGUAUAACGCCCUUGGGUUUUAAAAACACUUCCGUAUGUAACAAAGCUUGUGUGACGGUAACUAGAUCAGAAGCACCGGCCAACUACGUG
RNAcentral lists this ribosomal RNA (465 nucleotides) under uncultured bacterium. Its description in RNAcentral is "partial 16S ribosomal RNA". It matches the Rfam family "Bacterial small subunit ribosomal RNA", at positions 28 to 507 of the family's 1533-position model. The record is from RNAcentral.